UACGUAGGGGGCAAGCGUUGUCCGGAUUUAUUGGGCGUAAAGCGCUCGCAGGUGGUUCGAUGCGUCGUGCGUGAAAGACCCCGGCUCAACUGGGGAGGGUCGUGCGAUACGGUCGGACUGGAGGCCAGUAGGGGGAUGCGGAAUUCCGGGUGUAGUGGUGGAAUGCGUAGAGAUCCGGAGGAACACCAGCGGCGAAGGCGGCAUCCUGGACUGGUCCUGACACUCAUGACGCGAAAGCG
RNAcentral lists this ribosomal RNA (239 nucleotides) under uncultured bacterium. Its description in RNAcentral is "partial 16S ribosomal RNA". It matches the Rfam family "Bacterial small subunit ribosomal RNA", at positions 524 to 761 of the family's 1533-position model. The record is from RNAcentral.